UUCUGAUCAUAUCAUGAGACACGUUAAGGUCAUAUCUACUACUACUUAAAAUUAUCCCUUGAAGAACACUAUUCAUAAGAAAGGUUUAAAUCCUGACCGUUUAUUAAAAUUGUUUUGUUUAUUCUGAAUCAAUCUUGGCCUUUGCUUUAUAGCAGCUGAUUGGUGGCCCCACCAUAACAUUUCUCUCACGUUUCUCAAUCCCCCUUUCUGACCUAAUUGCGUGUUUGCGGUUGAAUGACGGCGGCACAGCUUCAGUGAACGGAGAAGAUGGCGGGGCGAUUCUGAAGGCGGUGAAGAGGUGGUUGGUGGUUUGACCUCGGAUUUGAAGAGAGGAGGUGAAGAUCUAGGAGAAAGAACCUUCAUUUUUCAGAUCAGAGGUCGCCGGAGAGGUCGUCGGAAAUCGCCUUCGCCGGCGGCCCUUAGCGGAACAGACACCUUUCUUCAUCUCCUUCGCUCAGAACAUGAAAUCUCGGUCCAGAAAAGCCUUUGAGGCAUCGAUGAGGCUAAAGGUUUGUUCAUGGUGGUGGUGCUGUAUGCCAGAAGAGGAAAAGGUGAAGAGAAGAAAGGAACAGAGAGGCGUGUGAUAGGAGAGAGAGAGAGAGAGAGAGAGAGAAAGAUUUGUGGAAAUGAAAGAGAGAAGGAGAAGGAGAGGUGGGGUCUCAACUCUCAGUUUGUUGAGGAGAAAGCAAGGAGAAGGACAAGAGAUGAUGAUGAUGAUGGAAAGUACAAAAUUUUCCUCAUGGUGGAUGGUGUUUGGUCAGAAUCAGAUUCAGAGGGAGAAGGAAAAGGACCAGUCUUCCCUUGUGAAUGGUUAGGUGAGGCAGCUCAGAUGACAGGAUAGAUCGUCACGAAUUUUCUGUGGUCCUUGUGGCAGAACCGUAACUGUUGUCUCCCCCUCUGACCUAAGUGCGUCUUUCUUUCCUCUUUUUCUUCUUCCAUGACCUAAUCGCCUGCAUCGAUCAUGUUUCUGCUGAAGGAGUACAGUGUGCUGCAGUCGUUUUGCUCUCCAAUUUUUGUACUUUUGAUGAUCUCACCUUCUGCGUUGGAGAAGUUUUGGUGGAAGGUGAAGACUGUGGGCAUUGGUUUGAUUUCGACAUAGAUCGUCACAUUUAGCUGGCUCUCUCACUGUAUACGCUCUGAUGUGUGGGAGCAGUUGGUGUCAAUUGUAGUUGUUGCAGUUUCAAUGAAGAAGAAGGUUAGUUACUUUGAUUAGGGUUGUACUGUGUUGUGAUUGAUGCAAGAUUUCGUGUGAUUUUAAUUUUUGUUGUGAAUUGUUGAAUCCAUGCUGUUUUACUUGAUCAAAAUGAGAAGGGUGACAAUUUUUUGUUGAAGUAGAACUUUGAUUUGAUUUGUUACUCUCUUUUGUCAGUAGAAGAGAAGAAUUAGAAGCAAUGUUUGUCAGGUUACUGUUUUGAUGUCAGCUUAGUACAAGAGGUUUGGUUUUGGCAGUGUUCCAGCAAUUUACUUGCUGGCAUCCUUCAGUUUAAUUAAUUUGAAAUUGAAAUUUGUAAUGACCUACCUGUCUCACUUUGUAUCCGUCUAUAAAUACUGGUGUAUUGUGGUCUCUUUGUUGCUCUUGCUCAUAUCCUGGUUUGAUUUUGAUAUUGCUAUUGCUUCAUUGCUACCUAUCUUCAUAUCUGAUAUCUGAUAUUUGUCUUGUGCCUUAAUCUCAAUCAUGGCCUUUACUGCUGGUCCGUUCAACCCUCUGAGUUGCUUAUUGCCUGGAAAAGACACAUGGAAAAUUAAGAUUUUUUACUAGGAAGUCAGCUGUGCACGUGUUUCACUGCUCUGUUGUAUGGGAAGUUUAAAUCAAUUGCAGAAUUAGUUUUCGUUCCAGUCCAAGCUUUUUGAUUUAGGGUGCCAUCUGCUCUCCUUUAAUGACAAGGUGACAAUGAGAAGGAGUAGAAUAGAUUGUUGAAGGAGAUUGGGGAAGUGCUCACUGUUUGUUGUCAGGAGUAGAGCAAAAUCAGAAACUAAAGACGUCAUUUUCUUCGUCAGCUGAAGCUUUCCCUAAUGUCAGGCCAGAAGGAUUGGCUUUCCCUUUCCAAUUGUCUAUAAAUACUGCCUUAGUUUGUUGCUUUUCAUUGUUCCUGUUGCUAUUUCUCUACAUAUCUGAGAAUUGGUCUUUCCCCCAAUCUUACUGAUAUCGUUAGGCUGGCCUUCUCAAUCCUCUUCCAAGUUUAUGCCUUGGCAAAUAUACAUGUCUGAUCUUAUCUGGCUAGUUUUUUUCUUUCUUACAAAUGUAGAUAGAUAAAACUGAUGGUUAUUUCUUUUUCUAUUUGUUUUUUCAAUCUUAAAUGUCCAGAAUAUGAGUGAAGAAGAAAUAGGCGAAGGAAGAUUGUCCACAAAAAUGGAUGUCUUUCCAAUCGUGAAAGGAGCAGAUGGAGGAUUGGAAGAAACAGCAAAGUAAAAAAGUUGUGGGAAUUUACUAAUUGUCUUAUGAAAGUGGGUGCUAGACUUCGCCAUACACCUUGUAGAAACGGGAAUAGAAAAUGAUGCUCUCUUGGCAUUGAUCAUUUUAUCUUUUCAGUUUGUCCUGGUCAAUCAUGAGUAUUACAAUGGUGUUGCAUGGAAGGAACAGAUGGAGGAUUGGAAGAAAAAACAAAGUGUUGCAACCCUUUGCUGCUUCACUAUUCUAACUCCUUUUGUUUCCGUUUUGCCACAAUCUGGAAGAGGGUUUAGUAAAUAGUAUGAUUGCGUUCUAGACCCAUUUGAAGACAAGUUACAAGUAAUACUGAUCUCAUGUUAGACUUUCAUGUUCAAGAAGACUUCGACAUCACCACAAGGUUUUGGAGCAUCAUGUAGGGUUGAUUUUGAGAGAGAAGCUUGGAAAUUUGGGAUACCAGACACGAAUACUUAGGGACUGCAAUGGGUUCAUCAGUGCUGGACUGUAGAGGUGAGCAGUUCCUUCACUGGCCGCGAGGGAGUGGAGGCUCAGUCUGAAAAAAAGGUUGCAAGAAGCACCGUAGGAAGAAAAGCGGAUUUUAAAAUGAGGUUUGGUUUCUUCAUAGGCUUGAUUGAGAAAAUUCUAUCUGGGAAUGUGUCAUCUCUGCCUUCUCGACUUAAGGCUUAGUGAAAAAGAAGUAGCAGUUGAGGACACAACACGAUGAGCCUCACUGCUGCUUAAGAACUUUAAAUUUGGAAUUUCCCUCUUUGCAUUCUACAGCUAUAGAUGCACCUUUACACAAAUAUUGGGCAUAAACCAUAUAAGCCUCAGAAUUCUGACAAUAACUUAAGGAUAUGAAGUGGAACCACUGCAAGAAAUGGAUCUGAAGUGAAGUGGCUUCCCAUGGAGAAAUCCUGUUGAAAACAUGUGCCACAGUACACAGUUCCAACCACCACAACUGAAGGAAGAAGGUCGUUGCUGUCAAGGCUAGCUUCUAGAAGACUACCAUGAGUGAGACUGAAACAAAAUUACCAGGAACCAAGACAUUCUAAGUGAAGAGGAAACUAAGGAGAAUAUUUUUUCAGUAUUUCCCGUGACUAUGAGAUGUCCUUUAGACUUGGAUGCGAGAUUGAUGAGGAGACACCUGAUAAGCUAGAAGGUCUAUAAUGGAAGUAUUUUUUUCAGAGCUAAGGUUGAAUCCUUACUGGCCAGAGACAUGGAGACAUCUAUUAACAACACUACAAAGGAAGGGAGAUCAAUUUUCUCUACUGUUGAUACAUUGAUACACUAUACCCCUCUUCCUGUAGUUUUGCUGCCUUCCGGUCCGUUAACUGGCUAAAAGAAACCAAUUAUGCCAUCUUCUCAAGAUGAAUGCUCCAAUGUGGUGAACUGUUUAUGCUUUGUCUGAAAGACUUCUAAAGUAGAUUAAUAGAUCCCAAAGUAUAAUUUCAGCGGUGUUAGCUUGGCAUGGGCUCAAGAUGCAAGUUCAUUAUUUUACACUAUGUCAGAUGAAAGCAGUGGCCUAACAGUAUUUACAGAAAGUGAUUCCAAUUAUUGCGUGGAAAUAACAAGCACAAAAGAUGGCAAGUUCACAACUGUUAACUUGAACUUAAGGACUUCAUUGGAGGAAGGAAGUAGACAAAAUGAAAAGGCCAACUCUUUUUUGUGGGUUUGUGAGUGUGUCACCAUUUUGCUGAGAAAAAUUGGUGUGAGUGCUGCAUCAGAGGGAGAAUUGGGAUAUUUGAAUAAAGGUGCCCCUUGGAGCAAUUGCUACCAGUUUUAUGUACUUAUCAUUUACGUCUCUUUGUUUCUGGUUGGAUAAUGUUAUUCUCCAAUCACAUGUACCUUAAGGUGAUUGGAGCUUCACAAAUAUAAUUUUAGAAGUGGUUAAGUUACAUUCUAUAUGAAUACUUGAUUCAUUUUCUAUAUAUUUCUGCAUUCCAUGGAUUUUGUAA
Molecule: long non-coding RNA, 4341 nt
Organism: Lotus japonicus
Lineage: Eukaryota; Viridiplantae; Streptophyta; Magnoliopsida; Fabales; Fabaceae
Exons: 13
Source: RefSeq, a predicted model, not a curated record